Molecule: long non-coding RNA, 837 nt
Organism: Rhineura floridana
Lineage: Eukaryota; Metazoa; Chordata; Lepidosauria; Squamata; Rhineuridae
Exons: 4
Source: RefSeq, a predicted model, not a curated record
AAUAGUUCUAAGGGGACAUUCUUAGCAGCAGGAGAGCAGGUGGAACCCGAGGACAGGAGAGGAGUGGAGGAGACAGCAAGUGACUUUUUAGAUACCAGAGAAGAAAAUAGAUUACCAAGUGCUUCAUAAUACUGCAAGCAGAAUGGAAGGUUCUCGAUGUAAAUAUUCCAGGUCUAUGGAGACAUAUUUACAGAGGGGGAAAACUUCACUCAGUAGCCAGUCAGGAUAUAUAGAUAUCCACUUAGGCGACAAGUUCAUGUACGGUGUGAAGCUGGCUCUUGCCCAUGGAUUUGUAAUGGCAGUCUGAGAAAAUGACCGCUGACCUUUAACUCAAUGGAGGCUCGGAAGAGGUCAGGAGGAAUAACUCUCACCGCAAUCUCUCUCGCCACAGGGGUUUGAAAGCGGUGGGGGGGACCCCAAGAACCAAGGAGUGUGUGAUCAGCAAAACUUUGAGCUAUUUCUGAAGACAAAAAGUGAAGGAAGGUGAUAUGUUUACCUGGGACAAAAAAAUCACCUGUCAUGGAGAAACAGACCAACCCUUUCCAAGCAAGAAUAUAACCUCAGCAAAUCAGGAAAAGCAAUCGGGAAAAAGACAAAGUGUGUUUGUGUGUGGGGAGACCCAGAAUGUAGUUCAAAAUCAGGGUGUUCCCCUCUGAGAAGAGAUGAAAUCAAGACUCCAAGCCAUCAGCCACAAUAGCUUUGCUUAAAGGAAACAGCUCAGAAUUAAGUAGAGUGUGUUUGUUUGUUUUAAUGAGUUGAUCUUUCCCCCACCACUUACAAACGUCUUUGCAUCAACUAAAGGGGAAAUCUGGAUUAUUUGAUGGGAAAUUGUCAUCA